CAAGAAGCAAGGCAGACGAGAGGUAGGAAAGAAGCAGAAAGACGGAGAAGGGUAGGAAUCCAUGCCUGAAAAAGAGAACGAAGAAAAAAGGAAGAGCGAGGGAGAGGAGCGCCUGGAGCGUCGUCUGCUCAGGAUGACAGGCAGUCACAGAGGCCGAGCCACGGCGCAGGCAAAAAUAAAUGUGACUGGUCUGGAGUAAUUGCAACGACAAGAAAUCACUACAGACUUUAUUGAAGACUAGAGCGGAUAACAACUCUAUUAUUAUUUAAUUGUUUAUUUAUCUAUUUAUUACCACUGUAUGACUUUUAGAUCAUUCAAUUCUGUGUUUGUAUGAUUUGUGUAAAUCGUGUAUUUAUUUAAAGUAUCCUCCAGACCACCCAAGAAGGAUGGGCCCUGCUGAGUCUGGUUCCUCUCAAGGUUUCUUCCUGUAAUUUUCAGGGAGUUUUUCCUUGCCACAGUCGCCCUCGGCUUGCUCAACAGGGGUUUUUGUAUCUGUUGGUCCUGGAUUUUGUAAAGUUGCUUUGAGACAAUGUAUAUUGUAAAAAGCGCUAUAUAAAUAAAGUUGACUUGACUUGA
Molecule: long non-coding RNA, 576 nt
Organism: Trichomycterus rosablanca
Lineage: Eukaryota; Metazoa; Chordata; Actinopteri; Siluriformes; Trichomycteridae
Exons: 2
Source: RefSeq, a predicted model, not a curated record